Long non-coding RNA from Thrips palmi, 2272 nucleotides. RefSeq lists it as uncharacterized. NCBI's taxonomy places the organism in Eukaryota, Metazoa, Arthropoda, Insecta, Thysanoptera, Thripidae. The record is from RefSeq and is a predicted model, not a curated record. The transcript is spliced from 5 exons.
UCUGCAAUCCGAGUAAAAAGGUGGCUGGUUAAUCGGAUGGACUGGCGCUGCACACUACCGUGGUACGCAAGAACGGUCCCUCAUGGUCCCAGAUAGCCUACAGUCAUGGAACAAGAGACAUUCGGGGAAAACUAAGGACCGGCAAAGCGUGGGGCACUGAUUCUUGCAGUUCUUCACUUUAACCAACGACGUCUAAAGAGUCUGGCCUACCACCACUUCAACCGGAAGCAGCCAGGUGUCAUGGGGUUUUUCCGCGACUCUUAAAACGGAUGGAGGAACACAAUUGCUUCCUUGCAUGCUGAUGGCCCAACGGCGUUGAUGAUGGAUGACGAUGUCUUCGGUUCGCCGCCUUCUGAUGCCGAGCCGACUACAGUCUAAACAGCUGAACAGCUUUGAUGGUGAUGGCUGACGAUGUGUUUGGUUCGCCGCCAGACGAUGCCGAGCCGACUACAGUUCAAACUGGCGUGGCCGAGGUCCAGCCCCAGCAGCUCCGCAUCGCGGUGACCUUCUCGCUGGCAGGGUUGGCUGGCGACGCGGUCCCGGUGGAGCAGGCCUCGCCCAGGGAGGCGGGCAGAAAGACGCGCCGCGGGUUCAGGUGUGGGGAGUGCGGCGAGUGCUUCGGUGCAGAGGCGGACUUGGAUCAGCAUCCGGCAAGUCACUCCAAGACGGCACCGCACUCGUGCGAGGUGUGCGGCAAGAAGUUCCGUGACGCUUCGAGUUUCGGGAAGCAUAAGAGAAUCCACCGCGAGGCGAAGCUCUAUGAUUCGCUAAAGAAGUACUCUAAAUUUGAACCUGUUUCAGUGUACGAAAGUAUGCGUUAAGAGUUGUAACAUGUGAGGUAACUUCAAGUGCUCAAGUGAACCCAUUCCGGGGAGAAGCUCUUCCAGUGCGACGACUCUGGAUGGAAACUCUCUGGUGUGACACUAGGAAAGCGCAAGAGGAUCGACACCGAGGAGAAGCCCUACUUAAGUGACGAGUGCAGCUAGAAAUAAAUUCUCUGAUACAAGUUAUCUCAACGUGCUCGAGAGGAACCCCACGCGAUGACUGCUUGCUUGUGAAUGUAUUGUGUGGUUCCCGAAAGUUACACUCUGAGUGGUUGCUGUCGAACAUAAGUGCGACUUAAAGAUAAUCAUUUGAGGCGUGCCUUGUUGUUAUCGGUUCCUUGUUUAAUUUUCUUUGUCCUUCACUUUGAAGUUUACUGCGAUUUACUACUGAAACCUUUGUUGCUACUUUGUGUAAUUAUUGUCUUCUUCUGAGAUGCUCAUUUGUGAUUGUGAAUAAUGUCGCUCCACUCCAUUUGUUCGCUUUUGUUAAUUUUGGUGUUUUGUUAUUGUAUUUGUACCUUCUUAUUUUUUGCCCCUUAAUUAAUGCAAUUCUAAGCACAUCCCAUCGGUGACACAAUUGUGUGUCCACCUGGUGAUGAUUCAAAGUGCAAAAUCGCACUCUCUGGGUAUUGUUCACAUUUGUUAAUUUUGUCGUUUUGUCAUUGUAUUUGUACCUUCAUAUUUGUCUGCCCCCUGAGUAAUGCAAUUCUAAGCACAUCCGUGAGUGACAAUUUUCUACCUGGUGAUUCAAAGUGUCCAAUGCCUAUUGCGAUUUGGUAGUUAAUUGAACAAGUUUGUUCACAGCAACAGAUGUGCAUAAAAUUGGAACAUUCAUGGGACAAAAGAAGAGGGCUCCAUGACAUACAGUGUGUUGUUAUCACUUUACCAAUUUUCCCUUAAGGUCUUUUUUCAAUUUGAUGUUAAUUCUCAUGUUUCUGUCCCUCUUUCAGAUCUUAAUCUAUGAAUCUGUAUCGCGCUACCCCUCAAUGAUUCUCGCUUGUUGUUUCUGGUUUUUUCGCCGCGGUGUGCGGUGAGGUUGUUGUAGUGGGCCUCGUCAUCACGAGGUUGUUGGGAGCGGUGUUGUCAGCAGUGGUGGUGCAUGCGCAGUGCGAUGUGACGUAGACGUUGCUCUUUUGUCUUGAUCCUGCCUGAGUGUUUUGUUUUUCGCAGAACUUAAUCGUUUCAGUGCGACACACAUUUUAAAGCCCUUUGUCGCGGCGUCCUUUUUAAAAGACGUUUCCUUUCUUUCGCUCUUUUCUCGUUAAACCUACUUUCAACGAAAAUCGAGCAGAAUCUGUUCUCACGGCACUCACAUUUUUGUCGGGAAGUCCUGUUUGCUUGGUAAUGUGACCUGACCUGAUAAAAAACCAACGAGAACAUUCCCAAGCUUACAGUCCCUCUCUCCAAAUUUGUGGAGAACCGCUUGGGCCGGUGUUGUGUGCACUCUC